RNAcentral lists this ribosomal RNA (515 nucleotides) under uncultured bacterium. Its description in RNAcentral is "partial 16S ribosomal RNA". It matches the Rfam family "Bacterial small subunit ribosomal RNA", at positions 28 to 523 of the family's 1533-position model. The record is from RNAcentral.
GACGAACGCUGGCGGCGUGCCUAAUACAUGCAAGUCGAACGCUUCCUACCGGUGCUUGCACCGGGAAAGAAGAGUGGCGGACGGGUGAGUAACACGUGGGUAACCUACCUACAAGCGGGGGAUAACAUUCGGAAACGGAUGCUAAUACCGCAUAGAUCUUUUUGUCUCCUGGCAGAAAGAAGAAAGACGGUUUCGGCUGUCACUUGUAGAUGGACCCGCGGCGCAUUAGUUAGUUGGUGAGGUAAUGGCUAACCAAGACGAUGAUGCGUAGCCGACCUGAGAGGGUGAUCGGCCACACUGGGACUGAGACGCGGCCCAGACUCCUACGGGAGGCAGCAGUAGGGAAUCUUCCGCAAUGGACGAAAGUCUGACGGAGCAACGCCGCGUGAGUGAAGAAGGUUUUCGGAUCGUAAAACUCUGUUGUUAGAGAAGAACAAGGAUGAGAGUAACUGCUCGUCCCUUGACGGUAUCUAACCAGAAAGCCAUGGCUAACUACGUGCCAGCCGCCGCAGUAA